UUUCGUAGUUGAAUACUACAACCAA
This 25-nucleotide ribosomal RNA is filed under the name Eimeria mephitidis. RNAcentral describes it as "large subunit ribosomal RNA". The record is from RNAcentral. Lineage: Eukaryota; Apicomplexa; Conoidasida; Eucoccidiorida; Eimeriidae.